This 591-nucleotide ribosomal RNA is filed under the name Bacillus sp. CH61a_2B. Its description in RNAcentral is "bacterial SSU rRNA". It matches the Rfam family "Bacterial small subunit ribosomal RNA", at positions 61 to 632 of the family's 1533-position model. Lineage: Bacteria; Bacillati; Bacillota; Bacilli; Caryophanales; Bacillaceae. The record is from RNAcentral.
GUCGAGCGAAUGGAUUAAGAGCUUGCUCUUAUGAAGUUAGCGGCGGACCGGUGAGUAACACGUGGGUAACCUGCCCAUAAGACUGGGAUAACUCCGGGAAACCGGGGCUAAUACCGGAUAACAUUUUGAACUGCAUGGUUCGAAAUUGAAAGGCGGCUUCGGCUGUCACUUAUGGAUGGACCCGCGUCGCAUUAGCUAGUUGGUGAGGUAACGGCUCACCAAGGCAACGAUGCGUAGCCGACCUGAGAGGGUGAUCGGCCACACUGGGACUGAGACACGGCCCAGACUCCUACGGGAGGCAGCAGUAGGGAAUCUUCCGCAAUGGACGAAAGUCUGACGGAGCAACGCCGCGUGAGUGAUGAAGGCUUUCGGGUCGUAAAACUCUGUUGUUAGGGAAGAACAAGUGCUAGUUGAAUAAGCUGGCACCUUGACGGUACCUAACCAGAAAGCCACGGCUAACUACGUGCCAGCAGCCGCGGUAAUACGUAGGUGGCAAGCGUUAUCCGGAAUUAUUGGGCGUAAAGCGCGCGCAGGUGGUUUCUUAAGUCUGAUGUGAAAGCCCACGGCUCAACCGUGGAGGGUCAUUGGAAA